UUAGUGGCGGACGGGUGAGUAACGCGUGAGUAACCUGCCUUACACAAGGGGAUAGCCGUUGGAAACGACGAAUAAUACCCUAUGAAACUAUCACUUCGCAUGAAGCGAUAGUCAAAGUGUUAGCGGUGUAAGAUGGACUUGCGUCUGAUUAGCUAGUUGGUGAGAAAAAAGCCCACCAAGGCAACGAUCAGUAGCCGGCUUGAGAGGGUGAACGGCCACAUUGGAACUGAGAAACGGUCCAA
RNAcentral lists this ribosomal RNA (242 nucleotides) under uncultured Eubacteriales bacterium. RNAcentral describes it as "uncultured Clostridiales bacterium partial 16S ribosomal RNA". It matches the Rfam family "Bacterial small subunit ribosomal RNA", at positions 92 to 334 of the family's 1533-position model. The record is from RNAcentral. Lineage: Bacteria; Bacillati; Bacillota; Clostridia; Eubacteriales.